AGUGAACGCUGGCGGUAGGCCUAACACAUGCAAGUCGAACGGCAGCACAGUAAGAGCUUGCUCUUACGGGUGGCGAGUGGCGGACGGGUGAGGAAUACAUCGGAAUCUACUUUUUCGUGGGGGAUAACGUAGGGAAACUUACGCUAAUACCGCAUACGACCUACGGGUGAAAGCAGGGGAUCUUCGGACCUUGCGCGAUUGAAUGAGCCGAUGUCGGAUUAGCUAGUUGGCGGGGUAAAGGCCCACCAAGGCGACGAUCCGUAGCUGGUCUGAGAGGAUGAUAAGCAACACUGGAAGGGAGAAGGGGUCGAGACUCCGAGGGGAGGAAGAAGGGGGGAAUAUUGAAAAAGGGGCGAAAGCAUGACAAAGCAAUACCGGGGGGGAAAAGAAGGCCUUGGGGUUGAAAAGCCGUUUUGUGGGGAAAGAAAAGCAGAAGGUAAAUACCCGGGUGUUGUGACGGUACAAAAAAAAUAAGAACCGGCUAACUUCGUG
This 492-nucleotide ribosomal RNA is filed under the name uncultured bacterium. RNAcentral's name for it is "partial 16S ribosomal RNA". It matches the Rfam family "Bacterial small subunit ribosomal RNA", at positions 30 to 507 of the family's 1533-position model. The record is from RNAcentral.